GUCUCUUUCAUUGCAUCCACUGUUUCUGCGUCUCUGACAUUGUCUCAAAAUAUUCAGCAUGCAAAAUUUCUUAAUAAUUUAGCUCAAAAUACUUCCAAGGCUCUGCGUAAUCAAGUAAAUAUUGAAGAAAGGAUUGAGACUAAAUUAAACGCCUUAGAGGCGACUGUUAUAGACAUAGGUAGUGAACUUUCAGCUUCAAAAUUUAAAGAAAGGCUUAAAUGCCACGCAAAUUAUAAAUAUGUGUGUGUUACAGCUGCCAAGUACAACGCUUCUCUCUGGGAUUGGGAGAAGGUUAAAAACCAUUUGUUAGGUAUUUGGGAAAAUAAUAAUAAUAGCUUGGAUCUUUUGGAACUUCAUCACCAUAUCCAAGACAUUCAAAAUAAUAGAGCUGAUUUUUCGGAUCCUUCUUCUUUGGCUAACCAAAUAUUGAAGGAGUUAAAUGGAUUUAACCCUGGAAAUAUUCUUAAACACUUGGCCUGGUACAUUAUUGGAUUGUUCUCUUUGCUGUUAAUUCUCUUUUGUGUUGUAAUUAUAGGAUGGAGAGUCUUCAGAACAAGAAAGCAGAAACUCAAAAGAGUGAACCACCGCCUGAUUUUUAAGAGAAAAAAGGGAGAAUAUGUGGGAAGCCAUUCUCACACGUCAUUGGGCACCUCCCUGAUUAUGUGUGAGGCAUUCUGGCCAAACUGUGUCGGAGCUAAUCCCCACCCUCUCCAGGUGAAAGAGCCUGUCUGAGUGGGGGUGUGACUGACCAUUGACCCUGAGGCCAAUCACUGACCCUGACCUUGUAAUGCUGCCCCCCCUUGACCUUCAUUGGAUGGAGUUUUUCCCUGAAUUUCUUGUUCCCCAAUAAAAGGCCACUCCCUGGAGUGCUCUCUCUCUCUCUCUCUCUCUCUCUCUCUCUCUCUCUCUCUCUCUCUCUCCUGUUAGUCCUGAAUAAACCUUGCUGCCCCACCAGGUGGCUUGAGGCAGGAGCCAGAGGGGAGAGCCAUCUCGGACCUGGUCA
This 1003-nucleotide long non-coding RNA is filed under the name Marmota monax (woodchuck). The record is from RNAcentral. Lineage: Eukaryota; Metazoa; Chordata; Mammalia; Rodentia; Sciuridae.